UGUAAAUAUACUGAGUGCCAAUGAAAACGCAACACUUGGUUUUUCAAAAAUAAAAUUUAUAUAAGAAAUGAUAAUCUCUCAAAAUAAAUUGUUCUUGAAAAUUAACUAUUUGAACAAUAGAUCGAUAUCAAACAAAAAUGUUUUAUUGUCAUCUUUCGGGCGCAAUAGGUAAACGAAACAUCCAAUGUCGAAUCAUCAACUAACAGUCCUAACAAAAAAUGUUACAACCCCGUGGUGCAGCGCAAUCUCGACAGCGCCGUGGAAUUGAUCAUCCCGGAUGUUUAAUGUGAUCCCGAGGAAUGUUAUUCCACUUGUCCCGCAAAGCAAACUCAAGCUGACUUUAAGAUAUUGGAGGUGGUUUUCAUCGUCUAAAACAUGUCAAACCUGAUGCAAAAUUUGGUCGAUCGGACCAAAAUCCGGCGAAAAGCAUGACUUUUAGCCAAGGCGGGUGCCAAAUGUCUAUGUAACCUCCAUUGAUGUUUUUUGUACAUAAUGAAUGAUUUUUGGUCUACAGAAUUUGAUAUUUACGCCAGACGGCCGUUUAAAUGUCACUAAGGAAAGACUGUGGUGCUCUUAAACAAUUUCUGCGCAAAUGGUGCUUUCAACUGAAUUGCUCCAAAGGUUCUACCGUGACCACCAUUGAACUCUUUGACAUUUGGACAGUCAUCAUAGUCGAUAUCGGAUGUGUGAAAGACCAAAUGUAUCGGUCUUGCUGAGCGUUUCUUGCUUUUUGUACCCCGGG
Molecule: long non-coding RNA, 742 nt
Filed under: Mytilus galloprovincialis (Mediterranean mussel)
Lineage: Eukaryota; Metazoa; Mollusca; Bivalvia; Mytilida; Mytilidae
Source: RNAcentral